RNAcentral lists this ribosomal RNA (253 nucleotides) under uncultured bacterium. RNAcentral describes it as "partial 16S ribosomal RNA". It matches the Rfam family "Bacterial small subunit ribosomal RNA", at positions 524 to 776 of the family's 1533-position model. The record is from RNAcentral.
UACGUAGGAGGCGAGCGUUGUCCGGAGUUACUGGGCGUAAAGGGUGCGUAGGCGGCUGCGCGCGUGGAGGGUGAAAUCUCUCGGCUUACCCGGGAGGGGGCUUUCCAGACGGCGUGGCUUGAGGGACGGAGAGGGGCGUGGAAUUCCGGGUGGAGCGGUGAAAUGCGUAGAGAUCCGGAGGAACACCGACGGCGUAGGCAGCGCCCUGGCCGUUUCCUGACGCUGAGGCACGAAAGCGUGGGGAGCAAACAGG